This 253-nucleotide ribosomal RNA is filed under the name uncultured bacterium. Its description in RNAcentral is "partial 16S ribosomal RNA". It matches the Rfam family "Bacterial small subunit ribosomal RNA", at positions 524 to 776 of the family's 1533-position model. The record is from RNAcentral.
UACGAAGGGUGCAAGCGUUGCUCGGAAUUAUUGGGCGUAAAGGGUUGGUAGGUGGUCUUGUUUGUCUAAGGUGAAAGCCCAUGGCUUAACUGUGGAAGUGCCUUAGAAACGGCAAGACUAGAGUCCUAGAGGGGUUUGUGGAAUUCCCGGUGUAGCGGUGAAAUGCGUAGAGAUCGGGAGGAACACCAGCGGCGAAGGCGGCAAACUGGAUAGGCACUGACACUCAACAACGAAAGCGUGGGGAGCAAACAGG